CCUUUUGUUCUCUCCUGGAGCUGGGACACUCUUCAUCUCCUGAACUUUGGACAUUAGAAUUCCAUUCUCCCUGGCCUUGAGACUCUGAGACUUACACAAGCAGCCCCACCCAGGUUCUCAGGCCUUCGGACUCACAUUGAGAAUUACACCAUCAGCUUCCCUGGUUCUGAUUCUUUAGAACUUGGACUGAGCCACGCUACUAUCAUCCCAGGGUCUCCAGCUUACAAGUGUCCUGCCAUGGGACUUCUCAGCCUCCAUAAUCAGAUAGAUGAUACCAAAGCGGCCAACGAGUUUAAAACUCUUUUUGCGCAGUAGGAAUGACUCCAUGAAGAUUUCUCAUCAUGGAGCCCAGACUAGAUGGACCCAAAUCUCCAGACUCCCAGCUCUUCUGUAAACCCCAUCCUGAUUCUCUGAGUCUCUGAAUCUUUUAUCCUCAUUUUCUUCCCAACUGUCCAUAAUGUAGAAUUUAAAUAAAAGAUUAAAUGUAAUCUUUAUAACAUUAUUAUAUUAUUGAACAGUUUCAGGUUUCUUGUUCUUAUUUACAAAAAACUAAUAAGUAGAAAUUUUAUACUUCUCUGAGCAUAAAACUAUACAAAAUAAAAAUUAUAUAAAAUUAAUUUGAUUUUCACUUAUGAGGUCUAUAAUUAUUCCCUUCAUGGUUAAUUAUCCUCAAUAGGAAACAAAUGGUUUCCUACCUUCUUACUAAGUUACAAAACUCUCAUUUAUUAAUAAUCAUUUAUAUUAAUAAUAAUUACUAAAUUGAAUAUGCCAGCUCUUACCAGAUUUAUGCUAGACUUUAAUAAGUCCCUCUCUUCCCAGAAGCAGGAACAAAGUAGAGAUGCAUCAAAUGAGCUAAAUCUAAUCUAAUUUUCCUUAUUGAGACUGGUUCUUAGGACCCUUCUUUCAUACUCUGGAAACUGGGACACACUUGUAAAUAUUAAGUGGUUGUAAAGAGAUGGCCUGUGACAUGCCUGCAAUCCCAGCACUUUGGGAGGCCAAGGCGGGCAGAUCACCUGAGGUCAGGAGUUAAAGACCAGCCUGGACAACAUGGUGAAGCUAAGUCUCUACUAAAAAUACAAAAAUUAGCCAGGCGUGGUGGCAGGUACCUGUAAUCCCAGCUACUGGGAGGCUGAGGCAGGAGAAUCGCUUGAACCCAGGAGGCAGAGGUUGCAGUGAGCCGACAUCACGCCACUGCACUCCAGCCUGAUGACAGAUCGAGACUCUGUCCCUCCCCCUUUCCCCCCCAAAAAAAAAAGAGAUGGCUGUGAGUGGUGGGUCCUUGCAUUUGCUCUUGUCCUCACUUUGAAGUGCCUACCUACACUCUUGAUGCCCAGCUGAAGCUUCCAUUUGUAGCACCCUGUAUCAUACAUACCAUUGUUUAGCAUCAGGCUCACUUUCCUUCUGUAGAAAGACGCAUAGGUGAAGUCUCCUUAAUGCACUGAAGCCACUUCUGCACUUAACAGAUGGUGGGCUUGAGUUUGGUAUAUGUAUCUCCUUCCCACGGGUGUGACAUCUUUCACCAGAUGUCAGCCUCCACAUGAGAACUUAACUCAGCAGCCGAGUUCUGAAAAAGGCACAGUGCCUUCUCUGAACCAUCAAAGAAUGAGUCUUCCCAAUAGCUACAAAUAACUACGAGUCACUGAUAACUUAUAUCUGUCUGCUCUUUCUUGAAGGAUAUUUAAAUUCAAUCCUCAGAUUAGAAAUAAAAAACCUAAUCAGAUAUUUCUGCCUCUAUAUACAUAUAGAGGUGCUAAUCAGAUAUUAGCACCUCUAUAUAGAGAGAGACAGAAAAUACACAGUCCUCACAAAAGUUCCAGGCAUUCCAAAAGCAAAUACCUACUGGUACCAAGUGCGCAACCCAAGUGACUGCAAGUGCAUGAUGAGCUGGUGAGGCUUGCGGUGCCUGAAGAGCAUGGGCUCUCUUCGUGAAGACAUUAAACAUGAAUUGGGCCAGACAAAGCUCUCUGUGGUCACAUUAGUCCAGGUUAUGGCCCCUGUGCAUCGUAAUGUGAAACUGUGAUUAAGGCAAGAACACUUACCACAGUGUCUGAUGGUGAAUACUGAGUGUGAACUUGAUUGGACUGAAGGACGCAAAGUAUUGUUCCUGGGUGUGUCUGUGAGGGUGUCACCAAAAGAGGCUGACAUUUGAGUCAGUGGACUGGGAGAGGCGGACCCACCCUCAAUCUGGAUGGGCACCAUCCAAUCAGCUGCCAGUGUGGCUAGAAUACAGCAGGCAGAAGAAGUUGGAAGGACUUGACUUGCUGAGUCUUCCAGCCUUCAUCUUUCUCCUCUGCUGGAUGCUUCCUGCCCUUGAACAUCAGACUCCAACUUCUUCAGCUUUUGGACUCUUGAACUUAACACCCGUGGUUUGCCAGGGGCUCUCGGGCCUUUGGCCGCAGACUGAAGGCUGCACUGUCGGCUUCCCAGUUUUUGAGGUUUUGGGACUUGGACUGGCUUCCUGGCUUCUCAGCUUGCAGACGGCCUAUGGUGGGACUUCACCUUGUGAUCGUGUGAGUCAAUACUUAAUAAACUCCCUUCCAUAUAUACAUCUAUCCUAUUAGGGAACCCUGAUUAAUACACAGUGUUUUCAUGUGUGUUUGUUAUACUUCAAUCAAGAUUAUUAUGUUAUCAUGAUACCUGAUACUUCCCCUCAUGAAGGAUUGAGUUUAGGUUUAAAAUUGGAAGGCAAAGCAGCAUUUAUGAGGAGGCAGGUCUAUGAGGCAUUCUGAAAUUCCAGAACUGCAAGCAUCGCUAUCUGCUUCUAUUUCCUUAGGGAUGCUUGGUCUUGAGCAGUUAAAGAAAAGUAAGUAUGUUACUUGCCCAUUAAAAGGCAGAAUUGUAGCACAGAAUCUUUCCAGUAAAG
This 2863-nucleotide long non-coding RNA is filed under the name Homo sapiens (human). RNAcentral describes it as "HSALNT0371526". The record is from RNAcentral. Lineage: Eukaryota; Metazoa; Chordata; Mammalia; Primates; Hominidae.